AUUGAACGCUGGCGGCAGGCCUAACACAUGCAAGUCGAGCGGAUGAAGGGAGCUUGCUCCUGGAUUCAGCGGCGGACGGGUGAGUAAUGCCUAGGAAUCUGCCUGGUAGUGGGGGAUAACGUCCGGAAACGGGCGCUAAUACCGCAUACGUCCUGAGGGAGAAAGUGGGGGAUCUUCGGACCUCACGCUAUCAGAUGAGCCUAGGUCGGAUUAGCUAGUUGGUGGGGUAAAGGCCUACCAAGGCGACGAUCCGUAACUGGUCUGAGAGGAUGAUCAGUCACACUGGAGGUGGGACACGGUCCAGACUCCUACGGGAGGCAGCAGCGGGGAAUGUUGGACAAUGGGCGAAAGCCUGAUCCAGCCAUGCCGAGUGUGUGAAGAAGGUCUUCGGAUUGUAAAGCACUUUAAGUUGGGAGGAAGGGCAGUAAGUUAAUACCUUGCUGUUUUGACGUUACCAACAGAAUAAGCACCGGCUAACUUCGUG
RNAcentral lists this ribosomal RNA (484 nucleotides) under uncultured bacterium. RNAcentral describes it as "partial 16S ribosomal RNA". It matches the Rfam family "Bacterial small subunit ribosomal RNA", at positions 30 to 507 of the family's 1533-position model. The record is from RNAcentral.